UAUCAUUCUAGGAUGACAAUGCAGAAGACCUCGCAGAAACAUUUGGCAACCAGCUUGGAUUAACAAAAUCGUUGAAGAAAGCUCUUCACUACAGACUAGAAGAGGAAAUAAAAAGCUGUACUAAUAGUUAACAUGCAUAGAAUAAUUAAUAAUCAAUAUUAUGUAUGGAAUGAGAUUAUGAGUGCUGUGUAUAUCGACUCAAAAUAAGACAGACUUAUAUUUGUUAGACAAUUGAACAUUAAAUCUCUAUGUGAACAAAUUAUUCACUCGGGUAUAUAGUUCUAAUGCUGAAGGUUGGUUUACUCUAUCAAAGAUUCUGAGAUCACAGUAGGAAUUUUGCAUGGGUAAAUUCUAAGUUUUGAAGAAUUUCUAAGAAAUGCUCGAGGAAACUGCUCAAACAUUUCUUACAAAUUCUUCAAAACUUAGAAUUUACCCAUGCAAAAUUCCUACUGUGAUCGCAGAAACUUUGAUUGUGGAAAACCAACCUUAACUUCAGUUCCAUUGGUAGGUGUCAGUAAGCUUUGUGAAACCUAUUGAAUAUUCAAACCUAUAAAUAUAUAUUAUUUAUUCAAAACGUGU
Non-coding RNA from Paramuricea clavata, 579 nucleotides. NCBI's taxonomy places the organism in Eukaryota, Metazoa, Cnidaria, Anthozoa, Malacalcyonacea, Plexauridae. The record is from the annotation of a GenBank genome assembly.